CUGCCAAGAAUGUUUCCAUUAAUCAAGAACGAAAGUUAGAGGUUCGAAGGCGAUCAGAUACCGCCCUAGUUCUAACCAUAAACGAUGCCAGCCAGCGAUCCGGCUGUGUUCCUCAAAUGACACGCCGGGCAGCUUUCGGGAAACCAAAGCCUUUGGGUUCCGGGGGAAGUAUGGUUGCAAAGCUGAAACUUAAAGGAAUUGACGGAAGGGCACCACCAGGAGUGGAUCAUGCGGCUUAAUUUGACUCAACACGGGAAAACUUACCCGGCCCGGACGCAGGAAGGAUUGACAGAUUAAGAGCUCUUUCUUGAUUCUGCGGGUUGUGGUGCAUGGCCGUUCUUCGAUGGUGGAGCGAUUUGUCUGGUUAAUUCCGAUAACGAUCGAGACUCUAGCCUACUAAAUAGACGCCCCGGUCCUACACGCCGGGCGGUCUUCUUAGAGGGACAAGCGGCGUCUAGCCGCGCGAGACGGAGCAAUAACAGGUCUGUGAUGCCCUUAGAUGUCCGGGGCCGCACGCGCGCUACAUUGAAGGGGUCAGCGUGUGCUUUCCCGGCCUGACAAGGCUGGGUAACCCGUUGAACCUCCUUCGUGCUUGGGAUCGGCGUUUGUAACUGUCCGCCGUGAACGAGGAACUCCUAGUAAGCGCUGAGUCAUCAGCUCGCGUUGAUUAAGUCCCUGCCCUUUGUUCACACCGCCCGUCGCUACUACCGAUGGAUGAUUUAGUGAGGUCUUCAGACUGGCGCCCGAUGUGGUUUUAGGAUCGUGUCGGCGUGCCGGAAAGAUGUCCGAACUUGACCAUCUAGAGGAAGUAAAAGUCGUUAACAAGGUUUCC
Molecule: ribosomal RNA, 832 nt
Filed under: Hahnia zhejiangensis
Lineage: Eukaryota; Metazoa; Arthropoda; Arachnida; Araneae; Hahniidae
Description: SSU rRNA
Rfam family: Eukaryotic small subunit ribosomal RNA
Source: RNAcentral